UGAGUUUGAUCCUGGCUCAGGAUGAACGCUGGCGGCGUGCUUAACACAUGCAAGUCGAACGAUGAAGCCCAGCUUGCUGGGUGGAUUAGUGGCGAACGGGUGAGUAACACGUGAGUAACCUGCCCUUAACUCUGGGAUAAGCCUGGGAAACUGGGUCUAAUACCGGAUAGGAGCGUCCACCGCAUGGUGGGUGUUGGAAAGAUUUAUCGGUUUUGGAUGGACUCGCGGCCUAUCAGCUUGUUGGUGAGGUAAUGGCUCACCAAGGCGACGACGGGUAGCCGGCCUGAGAGGGUGACCGGCCACACUGGGACUGAGACACGGCCCAGACUCCUACGGGAGGCAGCAGUGGGGAAUAUUGCACAAUGGGCGNAAGCCUGAUGCAGCGACGCCGCGUGAGGGAUGACGGCCUUCGGGUUGUAAACCUCUUUCAGUAGGGAAGAAGCGAAAGUGACGGUACCUGCAGAAGAAGCACCGGCUAA
Molecule: ribosomal RNA, 479 nt
Filed under: Micrococcus luteus
Lineage: Bacteria; Bacillati; Actinomycetota; Actinomycetes; Micrococcales; Micrococcaceae
Description: bacterial SSU rRNA
Rfam family: Bacterial small subunit ribosomal RNA
Source: RNAcentral